Molecule: RNA transcript, 887 nt
Organism: Zalophus californianus (California sea lion)
Lineage: Eukaryota; Metazoa; Chordata; Mammalia; Carnivora; Otariidae
Gene name: 40S ribosomal protein S11-like
Exons: 3
Source: RefSeq, a predicted model, not a curated record
GGUGACACAUCCGGGAGCCCCGCCGCGCGCCAGAUGUGCACUCACCGGGGCCCGCCGCCCGCGAGCCUCGGACGCGGGCCGCCGCCGACGCCGCCGCCUCUGGCCCUCCACGUCAGCCAGCGGGCAGGCGGGAGCUGGCGGCGGCGCAGGCGACAAGCGCAUCACGUGAGCAACGCACAUGCGCAGCCGUGCAGCCCCGCCCUCUUCCGCGGCGGCGAGCGGAGCGAUCAGGCAGUUCCCGGCGCUCGCGCGCUCCGGGACGGCAAGGGUCGCGUCCUGUAUCUCGUGUGGGCAUUUAUUCCUGAAUCUUGGCUAAACUCCUUGGGAUUAACCUAUUGGCCUCAAAAGACCCGGGCCGGGAAGAUGGCGGACGUUCAGACAGAGCGCGCCUACCAAAAGCAGCCAACCAUCUUUCAAAAUUAGAAGAGGGUCCUGCUUGGAGAAACUGGCAAGGAGAAGCUCCCGCGAUACUACAAAAAUAUCGGUCUGGGCUUCAAGACGUCCAAGGAGGCCAUUGAGGGCACCUACAUUGACAAGAAAUGCCCCUUUACUGGUAAUGUCUCCAUCCGAGGGCGGAUUCUUUCUGGUGUGGCGACCAAGAUGAAGAUGCAGAGGACCAUUGUCAUCCGCCGAGACUACCUCCACUACAUCCGAAAGUACAACGGCUUUGAGAAGCGCCACAAGAACAUGUCUGUGCACCUGUCCCCCUGCUUCAGGGAUGUCCAGAUCGGCGACAUCAUCACAGUGGGUGAGUGCCGGCCCUUGAGCAAGACUGUGCGUUUCAACGUGCUCAAAGUCACAAAGGCUGCUGGCACCAAGAAACAGUUCCAGAAGUUCUGAGACGAGACAUCUGUCCACACCCCUGAAGAAAAUAAAGUUACUUUCCC